UCUGGUGGUUAUUGCAAGGAGGCCACACCCGAUCCCAUCCCGAACUCGGAAGUUAAGCUCCUUUGCGCCGAUGGUACUGCAUGAUUUCUUGUGUGGGAGAGUAGGUCGCCGCCGGAA
This 117-nucleotide ribosomal RNA is filed under the name uncultured delta proteobacterium DeepAnt-1F12. The record is from RNAcentral. Lineage: Bacteria; Deltaproteobacteria.